Molecule: transfer RNA, 73 nt
Filed under: Candidatus Roizmanbacteria bacterium RIFCSPHIGHO2_01_FULL_37_16
Lineage: Bacteria; Candidatus Roizmaniibacteriota
Also listed under: 1 other name
Description: tRNA-Cys
Rfam family: tRNA
About the family: Transfer RNA (tRNA) molecules are approximately 80 nucleotides in length.
Source: RNAcentral
GGCGCAGUGGCGAAGAGGAAACGCAGCUGUCUGCAAAACAGCUAUCGCAGGGGUUCGAUUCCCCUCUGCGCCU